AUUGGAGGAAGUUUUAUUUAUAAAAGAACUCUUUACAAAAAGCAUAGGUGGGAUUAUAGGGGAAACAAAAGGUUAGUGCAUUAACCAAGGGCAUGUAGCAAGCAAGCUGUUUCUCCACCUGAGCCAGAAGGGAUGAAGGGAAGGAAUGGCUACUGGACCCUAAGGGAAAGAGGUGACAGGAAUUUGCAGCCCUUAGAGUAAGAGUGGCCUUCUGUUGAUAGAUCUGGCCAGCCUGAAGUUAGCACACAAGAAUGCAGCCUGGAGGAGUAAAUACCUUGAUCGUAAUCUCCUUCUUCCUUUUGAUCUCUUCCUAGGGAUCCCCGAGACAAAGCCCAACCAGAAGCAGAAGUACAAGAACAUUUUCCCACAAAGAAACCUUACAAAGAAGAACUUGGCCUCUCAGCGGUUCACAACAACUGCCCUAGCAUGAAACGUUGUAGCUGAACUAGAGUCCUGAAUUAGCCAUUCCAAACAAGGUCACGGAAAUGCAAAGUUUGGGACUAUAUCCCAUCCAUAGGAUGAAGCACCUCCAUCUCUAUGAUGACAGGAAGCAAAUCAGGAGGGUAUUUCCCAUCAGAAGACCAUGAAAUUUCCCUAUCAUUAAGUAGGAAGAUAAAGGAAUGUUCAUGGUCAAGCCUAGCUCUCUUUUUCUCUGUGUAAUGAAAUAUAUGAUCAUAUGUUUAUUUCUCCAACUAAAAUGUAAAAGCGCAUAUACUGGCUCAUUUCUAGGGAUUUCCCAAGUCUUUACAAUGGCAAUGCCCCAAGCGGCAAGAGCACUGCUAACACCAACAGCUGACAGUAUUUAGAGGAAUUGGGAGAACGUUUCUAGGUUUGGAACACUUUUAAGACUUUAAUGAACACUUUGUUGUUGUUGAGGAAGGUCAGUUAAGAAAAACAUUCCAAUUUUGAUUGCACAUAGUCAAGAGGCCCAAAACACAUCUUAAUUUGGUGUCACAAUAAACAGGACUUUUAAAAUCAAGGGCUGGCAAUUGAAGCCAUGAGUACAAUUUGAGUGGCUUUAUGAAAUGAUGCUACUGUAAGCUUUCUUAGC
Molecule: long non-coding RNA, 1051 nt
Filed under: Homo sapiens (human)
Lineage: Eukaryota; Metazoa; Chordata; Mammalia; Primates; Hominidae
Description: HSALNT0220141
Source: RNAcentral